GGCGAGAUGGCCGAGCGGUCUGGGGCGCUACGUUCAGGUUACCUGAUUGUUGUCAUGGAUUAUGACUUUCGUAGUCCGAAAGGGCGUGGGUUCGAAUCCCACUCUCGUCA
Molecule: transfer RNA, 110 nt
Filed under: Immersiella caudata
Lineage: Eukaryota; Fungi; Ascomycota; Sordariomycetes; Sordariales; Lasiosphaeriaceae
Description: Cercophora caudata tRNA
Rfam family: tRNA
About the family: Transfer RNA (tRNA) molecules are approximately 80 nucleotides in length.
Source: Rfam by way of RNAcentral